RNAcentral lists this ribosomal RNA (482 nucleotides) under uncultured bacterium. RNAcentral's name for it is "partial 16S ribosomal RNA". It matches the Rfam family "Bacterial small subunit ribosomal RNA", at positions 30 to 507 of the family's 1533-position model. The record is from RNAcentral.
AUUGAACGCUGGCGGCAUGCUUUACACAUGCAAGUCGAACGGUAACAGGCCGCAAGGUGCUGACGAGUGGCGAACGGGCGAGUAAUGCAUCGGAACGUGCCCAGUCGUGGGGGAUAACUACUCUUAAGAAUAGCUAAUACCGCAUACGAUCUAUGGAUGAAAGCGGGGGACCGGAAGGCCUCGCGCGGUUGGAGCGGCCGGUGUCGUAUUAGGUAGUUGGUGGGGUAGAGGCUCACCGAGCCAACGAUCUGUAGGUGUUCUGGGAGAGAGACCAGCCACACUGGGACUGAGCCACCGCCCAGACUCCUACGGGAGGCCGCAGUGGGGAAUUUUGGACAACAGGCGCAAACCUGAUCCAACAAUGCCGCGUGUAGGAAGAAGGCCUUCGGGUUGUAAACUGCUUUUGUACGGAACGAAACGGCUCUGGUUAAUACCCGGGGCUAAUGACGGUACCGUAAGAAUAAGCACCGGCUAACUACGUG